This 1103-nucleotide ribosomal RNA is filed under the name Escherichia coli. RNAcentral describes it as "partial 23S ribosomal RNA". It matches the Rfam family "Bacterial large subunit ribosomal RNA", at positions 87 to 1230 of the family's 2925-position model. Lineage: Bacteria; Pseudomonadati; Pseudomonadota; Gammaproteobacteria; Enterobacterales; Enterobacteriaceae. The record is from RNAcentral.
UGAUAUGAACCGUUAUAACCGGCGAUUUCCGAAUGGGGAAACCCAGUGUGAUUCGUCACACUAUCAUUAACUGAAUCCAUAGGUUAAUGAGGCGAACCGGGGGAACUGAAACAUCUAAGUACCCCGAGGAAAAGAAAUCAACCGAGAUUCCCCCAGUAGCGGCGAGCGAACGGGGAGGAGCCCAGAGCCUGAAUCAGUGUGUGUGUUAGUGGAAGCGUCUGGAAAGGCGCGCGAUACAGGGUGACAGCCCCGUACACAAAAAUGCACAUAUUGUGAGCUCGAUGAGUAGGGCGGGACACGUGGUAUCCUGUCUGAAUAUGGGGGGACCAUCCUCCAAGGCUAAAUACUCCUGACUGACCGAUAGUGAACCAGUACCGUGAGGGAAAGGCGAAAAGAACCCCGGCGAGGGGAGUGAAAAAGAACCUGAAACCGUGUACGUACAAGCAGUGGGAGCACGCUUAGGCGUGUGACUGCGUACCUUUUGUAUAAUGGGUCAGCGACUUAUAUUCUGUAGCAAGGUUAACCGAAUAGGGGAGCCGAAGGGAAACCGAGUCUUAACUGGGCGUUAAGUUGCAGGGUAUAGACCCGAAACCCGGUGAUCUAGCCAUGGGCAGGUUGAAGGUUGGGUAACACUAACUGGAGGACCGAACCGACUAAUGUUGAAAAAUUAGCGGAUGACUUGUGGCUGGGGGUGAAAGGCCAAUCAAACCGGGAGAUAGCUGGUUCUCCCCGAAAGCUAUUUAGGUAGCGCCUCGUGAAUUCAUCUCCGGGGGUAGAGCACUGUUUCGGCAAGGGGGUCAUCCCGACUUACCAACCCGAUGCAAACUGCGAAUACCGGAGAAUGUUAUCACGGGAGACACACGGCGGGUGCUAACGUCCGUCGUGAAGAGGGAAACAACCCAGACCGCCAGCUAAGGUCCCAAAGUCAUGGUUAAGUGGGAAACGAUGUGGGAAGGCCCAGACAGCCAGGAUGUUGGCUUAGAAGCAGCCAUCAUUUAAAGAAAGCGUAAUAGCUCACUGGUCGAGUCGGCCUGCGCGGAAGAUGUAACGGGGCUAAACCAUGCACCGAAGCUGCGGCAGCGACGCUUAUGCGUUGUUGGGUA